UCGUAUCCCGAAGAUUAUUCAAUUUGCAAGUUCCUGUAUUCUUUUACUUCUGCUUCUCUUAAAAGAUUGCAUUGUAUCAGAAAACUGCUGAACUGGGAAUCUAGCUUAUGGCAAGUCCAAUUUGACGGUGAAUGCUCCAACAGAACCACAAACGAGGGAGGAUGUUAAGGCUCUUCUUAUAGCUGAAAACAAAGCUGCUGCUCGUCCUUCCAAACCACACUUUGACAGUAGUAAGCCUUUUACUGGUGGUAUCAUAGAACACACAACUGAUAUUGAUAUCAAUCCAAGGGUGCUCAGUCAGUCGCGGCUCAAAGCCAGUAUCAAGGUUCAAGAUGCAGAGGAAUUAACUGCAAAUUAUUUUUCUUCAUGAAGUCAACCGUACAGCUUAUGUGUAGUAUCAUAGAAACACAAUGUUCCCAAGAUAUCAAUCCAACAUAGACAAUCUCAGAUUCAAGUUGCAGAGAA
Nicotiana tabacum (common tobacco) is the source of this 465-nucleotide non-coding RNA. Lineage: Eukaryota; Viridiplantae; Streptophyta; Magnoliopsida; Solanales; Solanaceae. The record is from RefSeq and is a predicted model, not a curated record.